UACGUAGGUGGCAAGCGUUGUCCGGAUUUACUGGGCGUAAAGCGAGCGUAGUCGGUUAUUUAAGUCGGGUGUGAAAGCCCCGGGCUCAACCUGGGAAUUGCAUUCGAUACUGGAUAGCUAGAGUUCGGCAGAGGGAAGCGGAAUUUCCGGUGUAGCGGUGAAAUGCGUAGAUAUCGGAAGGAACAUCAGUGGCGAAAGCGGCUUCCUGGACCAGAACUGACGAUCAGGCUCGAAAGCGUGGGGAGCAAACAGG
Molecule: ribosomal RNA, 253 nt
Filed under: uncultured bacterium
Lineage: Bacteria
Description: partial 16S ribosomal RNA
Rfam family: Bacterial small subunit ribosomal RNA
Source: RNAcentral